AUGACUGGGGUGAAGUCGUAACAAGGUAGCCCUAGGGGAACCUGGGGCUGGAUCACCUCCUUACAAAAAAG
Molecule: ribosomal RNA, 71 nt
Filed under: Photobacterium damselae
Lineage: Bacteria; Pseudomonadati; Pseudomonadota; Gammaproteobacteria; Vibrionales; Vibrionaceae
Also listed under: 1 other name
Description: partial 16S ribosomal RNA
Rfam family: Bacterial small subunit ribosomal RNA (bases 1-63)
Source: RNAcentral